Xiphophorus couchianus (Monterrey platyfish) is the source of this 1815-nucleotide long non-coding RNA. RefSeq lists it as uncharacterized. The record is from RefSeq and is a predicted model, not a curated record. NCBI's taxonomy places the organism in Eukaryota, Metazoa, Chordata, Actinopteri, Cyprinodontiformes, Poeciliidae. The transcript is spliced from 4 exons.
GGCGAGAGGCGGGGUCACCUGGAGGCGGGGUCACCUGGACAGGUUUUCCUCUGGUGGUGAGGAAGGAGGCGAGGGAGGAUGAGGAAGAGGAUGAGGAAGAGGAAUCCUGGGGAGGCCCAGAGUCUCCGGGUCGGGGCAGGAGGAAGAGCGGCUGGUCUUCAUCACCGGCUGGAGCUCCUCUUUCUCCCACCAGCUGAAAACAGAAACAGGCCUUUCUGGGAUGUAGGUGAUCCGUAUGUGCUGACAGCGCUCCCUGUCCUUUGAAUUGAGGAAAUCUGGGAGGUCGUUCACCUGCACAGAGGCAGAGAGACGGAAACGGGAGCCAAGCGUUUAUUUAUUCAGGGAGUUUCACUAACAGAUCGUCCAGGUGAGCUGCUGCAGCCACGAUGGCGCCGUCAGACUCCAGCAGUAAUCCGUCACGUUAGCACAGUCGGGAUUAUUGCUAAGCGUCUGACAUAACAACAAGCUGCGGGAAUCACAGAUUUAGCUGCCAGCUUUCUGACUCUUUAAGUUGUGUUGUACUGACGUUAAACCUGUUUUCAGCUCCUGCACUGGGUCAGUCUGUUUAAAAAUUAUUUACAAUCAGCGACUCGAAUCAUAAUCAGCUUCUGGUUGGAGUCUGAAAAUAGAUUCCUUUUUAUUCCUGUUUGAUUACAUUGAUUGAAAUGUUUUUGAUGUGAGUUUAAAUUAAAUGGCUUGCAGGACAAGAGGCUAACUACUGUUAGGCUAAUGCCAGAGAAUGUGUAAUCGAACAAAAGAGCGAAUCCUGGUUCAUUUAAAAACCUCGGUUUGACCGCUCCAAAAGCAGGAAGUGGACUACAGAGCAGGGCAUUCUGGGUAAAUACAACCUAAAGAAACGCGCUAGCUUAAUGCUAGCAGGAGAAGUGGCUCAUGGUCUUUAAGGCCACUCUGUGUUUCUUUACAUGUUGUGAAGACGGAAGUUGCUCUCAGUGUCUUCAGAGGUCUUUGUGUCGUUUCCUUUAGUGAUUCGUGGUGCAGCGCCCCCACAGGCCAGGAGGGGAACAGGUUUUUCAAAGAGUUUUUUGGUUUGAGAAAGAGAAACACAGGAGCUGAAAAUAUAACAAAUGUUGCAACUUUUGUUCACCAAUCGAAGCGACUGGAUUAUCAUCACUUCUCACUUUCGUCUCUUACUACUCUGCAGUUUUCAUUAUUUGCAUUAUUUCAAAUGUUAACUUCAUGUUCAUCUUUUGUCUUUUCUUAUCUGCAGUUGGUUAUUUCAGAUGGCCGCUUGUACUGAGUCCGGUUCUGGUUCUGCUGGAGGUUCUGUUAAAGGGGAGUUUUUCCUCUCCACUGUCGGAGAGAAUGCAAGUCAACGAUUCAAUGCAAUCUGCUGAGUUUAGAUCAACUUUUAAACUACUUUUCUGAUGACCAGGAUCAAUUGGAAUGUAUGGAUGAUUGAAUUGAAAUGAUUUUUUUUAAAGUGCUUCCAGACAUUUUUUGUGAAUCGGCGCUAAAUAAGUAAAACUGAAUUGAUUUAGACUUAAGCUUUAGAUGCACAAACAUGUUUUUGUUCAACUUCAUCCAAACAUUUUGUGCCAGGUCCAAUUUAACUUGAGAGAAAAACACAAACCAUGAUGCUGCCACCACCGUGCACACAGCAUGCCUUUUACAGGUGAGGCCAAAAUGAUUCACCUUGAAGUCGGUGAUAUGAUCUUUGUGUGACGGCGUGUUAGAGCCGCUAAAGACAAGAGCAAAAUAAGGAGGAGUACAUUUCCAUUCAAAACAUUCAGAAAUUUUGAGAUUCAACUCAGACAUUUUCUAAAAACAAAAGUGGAAAUUUCUGAGCUCAAAGUC